RNAcentral lists this microRNA precursor (134 nucleotides) under Prunus dulcis (almond). RNAcentral's name for it is "sRNA ncRNA". The record is from RNAcentral. Lineage: Eukaryota; Viridiplantae; Streptophyta; Magnoliopsida; Rosales; Rosaceae.
GAGGGAAGAUAAGAGGGGAAAAUGGAAGGGAUGAGUAACAAAAGUGAAAACAAAAAUUAAAAACUGAAAUCUAUUUAAAAUUGUUUUCACUUUUGUUACUCAUUCCUCCCAUCCUCUCCUCUCAUUCUCUCUCU